CCUACGGGUGGCUGCAGUGGGGAAUAUUGCACAAUGGGCGAAAGCCUGAUGCAGCGACGCCGCGUGAGCGAAGAAGGCCUUCGGGUCGUAAAGCUCUGUCCUAUGGGAAGAAAGAUGACGGUACCAUAGGAGGAAGCCCCGGCUAACUACGUGCCAGCAGCCGCGGUAAUACGUAGGGGGCGAGCGUUGUCCGGAAUGACUGGGCGUAAAGGGUACGUAGGCGGCCAAUUAAGCCAGGGGUGAAAGGCUACGGCUCAACCGUAGUAAGCCCUUGGAACUGAAUGGCUUGAGUGCAGGAGAGGAGAGUGGAAUUCCUAGUGUAGCGGUGAAAUGCGUAGAUAUUAGGAGGAACACCAGUGGCGAAGGCGACUCUCUGGACUGUAACUGACGCUGAGGCACGAAAGCGUGGGGAGCAAACAGGAUUAGAUACCCCUGUAGUC
RNAcentral lists this ribosomal RNA (440 nucleotides) under uncultured bacterium. RNAcentral's name for it is "bacterial SSU rRNA". It matches the Rfam family "Bacterial small subunit ribosomal RNA", at positions 338 to 795 of the family's 1533-position model. The record is from RNAcentral.